UACGAAGGUGGCAAGCGUUACUCGGAAUUACUAGGCGUAAAGGGCAGGUAGGUGGUUUGAUAAGUCUGUUGUGAAAGCUCCCGGCUCAACUGGGAGAGGCCAACAGAUACUGUCGGACUUGAGUGUGGGAGAGGAUACUGGAAUUCCCGGUGUAGCGGUGAAAUGCGCAGAGUUCGGGAGGAACACCAAUGGCGAAAGCAGGUAUCUGGACCACUACUGACACUAAGCUGCGAAAGCUAGGGGAGCAAACAGG
RNAcentral lists this ribosomal RNA (253 nucleotides) under uncultured bacterium. RNAcentral's name for it is "partial 16S ribosomal RNA". It matches the Rfam family "Bacterial small subunit ribosomal RNA", at positions 524 to 776 of the family's 1533-position model. The record is from RNAcentral.